This 65-nucleotide transfer RNA is filed under the name Dipodomys ordii (Ord's kangaroo rat). It matches the Rfam family "tRNA". From Rfam's summary of the family: Transfer RNA (tRNA) molecules are approximately 80 nucleotides in length. Their secondary structure includes four short double-helical elements and three loops (D, anti-codon, and T loops). The record is from Rfam by way of RNAcentral. Lineage: Eukaryota; Metazoa; Chordata; Mammalia; Rodentia; Heteromyidae.
GGUGGCUUAGCGGUAAAGUGCUUGCCUUGCAUGCAUGAAGUCCUGGGUUUGAUUCCUCAGCACCA